AACGAACGCUGGCGGCAUGCCUAACACAUGCAAGUCGAACGAGACCUUCGGGUCUAGUGGCGCACGGGUGCGUAACGCGUGGGAACCUGCCCUUAGGUUCGGAAUAACUCCCCGACAGGGGUGCUAAUACCGGACAAUGUCUUCGGACCAAAGAUUUAUCGCCUUUGGUUGGGCCCGCGUUGGAUUAGCUCGUUGGUAGGGUAAAAGCCUACCAAGGCGACGAUCCAUAGCUGGUCUGAGAGGAUGAUCAGCCACACUGGGACUGAGACACGGCCGAGACUCCUACGGGAGGCAGCAGAGGGGAAUAUUGGACAGUGGGCGGAGGGCUGAUCCAGCAAUGCCGCGUGAGUGAUGAAGGCCUUAGGGUUGUAAAGCUCUUUUACCCGGGAUGAUAAUGACAGUACCGGGAGAAUAAGCUCCGGCUAACUCCGUG
RNAcentral lists this ribosomal RNA (433 nucleotides) under uncultured bacterium. RNAcentral's name for it is "partial 16S ribosomal RNA". It matches the Rfam family "Bacterial small subunit ribosomal RNA", at positions 29 to 507 of the family's 1533-position model. The record is from RNAcentral.